Molecule: long non-coding RNA, 564 nt
Organism: Pipistrellus kuhlii (Kuhl's pipistrelle)
Lineage: Eukaryota; Metazoa; Chordata; Mammalia; Chiroptera; Vespertilionidae
Exons: 3
Source: RefSeq, a predicted model, not a curated record
AAAAAAAGGUGAAGGGGAGAAAGUGGUAGAAUUGUGGUAGAAUCCCGUGAAGUCUAAUUUUCAAAUGGAUGCUCUUCAGCCCGGGGAUGACUGUCUGCCUGUGAAAAAGCACACCCGGGUCCCACAGGGGCAGAGCACAGGGUAUGGAACACUAGGGAGGAGACCCUAUGGGAAACCUCUACUAUAAUUGGAGUUGGGAAGGAGCUAUCACACCUUACCACUGAGGUCAACUACCCCAAAAAGGAAGACCUCACCUGCAGACCUCAACAGGAAGAAAGUCAAUGACAGACCACAACACGUGACUACUUUCAUACUCCAUCAGAUUCUCCCCCUGCCCAGCAACAAGCCCAGAUAACGGAAACAUCACAGCUUAACCAAUGAGAAGCCAUCAUUACCUGAACUCUUACUUUCCUUUAAUGAACUUUCGAUUUUCUUUUGCUGACUUCGUCCUGCCCUCCUUUCUCUAAAAGCCUUCUAUCUUGUAUAACCCCUCGUAGCAUCUCUGCUUAUUAGAUGAAUUGCUGCUUGAUGCAUGAAUCAUUUAAUAAAGCCAAUUAGAUCAUC